GCCGCGGUAGCUCAGCCUGGCCAGAGCAGUCGAUUUGUAAUCGACUGGUCGGGGGUUCGAAUCCCCCCCGCGGCU
RNAcentral lists this transfer RNA (75 nucleotides) under Halanaeroarchaeum sulfurireducens. It matches the Rfam family "tRNA". From Rfam's summary of the family: Transfer RNA (tRNA) molecules are approximately 80 nucleotides in length. The record is from Rfam by way of RNAcentral. RNAcentral also lists the same sequence under 3 other names. Lineage: Archaea; Methanobacteriati; Methanobacteriota; Halobacteria; Halobacteriales; Halobacteriaceae.